RNAcentral lists this ribosomal RNA (301 nucleotides) under uncultured bacterium. RNAcentral describes it as "partial 16S ribosomal RNA". It matches the Rfam family "Bacterial small subunit ribosomal RNA", at positions 509 to 809 of the family's 1533-position model. The record is from RNAcentral.
CAGCCGCCGCGGGAAUACGUAGGGUGCAAGCGUUAAUCGGAAUUACUGGGCGUAAAGCGUGCGCAGGCGGUUUGUUAAGACAGAUGUGAAAUCCCCGGGCUCAACCUGGGAACUGCAUUUGUGACUGGCAGGCUAGAGUAUGGCAGAGGGGGGUGGAAUUCCGCGUGUAGCAGUGAAAUGCGUAGAUAUGCGGAGGAACACCGAUGGCGAAGGCAGCCCCCUGGGCCAAUACUGACGCUCAUGCACGAAAGCGUGGGGAGCAAACAGGAUUAGAUACCCGUGUAGUCCCUGUCUCUUAUAA